AUUGAACGCUGGCGGCAUGCCUUACACAUGCAAGUCGAACGGUAACAGGUCUUCGGAUGCUGACGAGUGGCGACCGGGUGAGUAAUACAUCGGAACGUGCCUAGUAGUGGGGGAUAACUACUCGAAAGAGUGGCUAAUACCGCAUGAGAUCUACGGAUGAAAGCAGGGGAUCGCAAGACCUUGUGCUACUAGAGCGGCCGAUGGCAGAUUAGGGAGUUGGUGGGAUAAAAGCUUACCAAGCCGACGAUCUGUAGCUGGUCUGAGAGGACGAUCAGCCACACUGGGACUGAGACACGGCCCAGACUCCUACGGGAGGCAGCAGUGGGGAAUUUUGGACAAUGGGCGAAAGCCUGAUCCAGCAAUGCCGCGUGCAGGAUGAAGGCCUUCGGGUUGUAAACUGCUUUUGUACGGAACGAAAAGCCCCGGGUUAAUACCCUGGGGUCAUGACGGUACCGUAAGAAUAAGCACCGGCUAACUACGUGCCAGCCGCCGCGGUAA
Molecule: ribosomal RNA, 498 nt
Filed under: uncultured bacterium
Lineage: Bacteria
Description: partial 16S ribosomal RNA
Rfam family: Bacterial small subunit ribosomal RNA
Source: RNAcentral